Non-coding RNA from Sus scrofa (pig), 512 nucleotides. Lineage: Eukaryota; Metazoa; Chordata; Mammalia; Artiodactyla; Suidae. The record is from RefSeq and is a predicted model, not a curated record.
GUGACUGAGGCAUGCACUGGGGACACGGGAGGACGGCGUCUCCAGGAGCCCCACUGACCGGCCAGCAAGGACUGCCAACACGAGUGACCGAGGGCCUGUCUAGUCUCCUUUACCCAGAAGAUGAGUAAAAGCUCCACCAUGAAGAACCCCAGAAGGGUGUCCUACGAUGCUAAUGUGCUGAAGACAUUUUGGGAGAAAAAAAUCGAGCUUCACACGAAACAACUGCAGGAUGAGGACCGGAGGGUCCGCAGGAGUGCCCUGGACAGGCUCCGCGGUGAGUGGGCUCGGAAGCUGGAAAGAAGGAACCAGAUGCUGCAGAGCAGCCGGGAGGCAGCCCCGCGGCCCCCCCUGCCCGGCACCCCCGGCCGCCACACCCAGGACCAGCUGGCAGCCUGAGGCCAGGACCUGCCUCCUCUGACGGCCCCGCAGUGGUCCUCCCAGCAGCCGGACCCCUUCACAGUUUUGUGUCUCUAGCGUGAUGCGAACACCCAAUAAAAUCCAAGAAAAGUAAA